ACUGCUCAGUAACACGUGGAUAACUUACCCUUGGGUCGGGGAUAAACCCGGGAAACUGGGUAUAAUACCCGAUAGUGCUCGAAUGCUGGAAUGCAUCGAGUGCGAAAGCUCCGACGCCCAAGGAUGGGUCUGCGGCCUAUCAGGUAGCAGUGGGUGUAAUGGACCUACUAGCCUACAACGGGUACGGGUUGUGAGAGCAAGAGCCCGGAGAUGGAUUCUGAGACACGAAUCCAGGCCCUACGGGGUGCAGCAGGCGCGAAACCUUUACAAUGCUGGAAACAGCGAUAGGGGGACCUCGAGUGCCUUGGUACAACCAAGGCUGUCGUUAUGCCUAAAAAGCAUGAUAUAGCAAGGGCCGGGCAAGACCGGUGCCAGCCGCCGCGGUAACACCGGCGGCUCGAGUGGUAACCGUUAUUAUUGGGUUUAAAGGGUCUGUAGCCGGCCUGGUUAGUCUUUUGGGAAAUCCGGCAGCUUAACUGUCGGGCUUUCAGAGGAUACUGCCAGGCUCGAGACCGGGAGAGGUGAGAGGUACUUCAGGGGUAGGGGUGAAAUCUUGUAAUCCUUGAAGGACCACCAGUGGCGAAGGCGUCUCACCAGAACGGAUCUGACGGCAAGGGACGAAAGCUAGGGGCACGAACCGGAUUAGAUACCCGGGUAGUCCUAGCCGUAAACAAUACUCGCUAGGUGUCGGCCACGGUGCGACCGUGGUCGGUGCCGUAGGGAAACCGUGAAGCGAGCCACCUGGGAAGUACGGCCGCAAGGCUGAAACUUAAAGGAAUUGGCGGGGGAGCAC
Molecule: ribosomal RNA, 793 nt
Filed under: uncultured archaeon
Lineage: Archaea
Description: bacterial SSU rRNA
Rfam family: Archaeal small subunit ribosomal RNA
Source: RNAcentral